Molecule: ribosomal RNA, 440 nt
Filed under: uncultured bacterium
Lineage: Bacteria
Description: partial 16S ribosomal RNA
Rfam family: Bacterial small subunit ribosomal RNA
Source: RNAcentral
CCUACGGGUGGCAGCAGUGGGGAAUAUUGCACAAUGGGGGAAACCCUGAUGCAGCGACGCCGCGUGAGUGAAGAAGUAUUUCGGUACGUAAAGCUCUAUCAGCAGGGAAGAAAAUGACGGUACCUGACUAAGAAGCCCCGGCUAACUACGUGCCAGCAGCCGCGGUAAUACGUAGGGGGCAAGCGUUAUCCGGCUUUACUGGGUGUAAAGGGAGCGUCGACGGCAGCGCAAGUCUGGAGUGAAAUCCCAUGGCUUAACCAUGGAACUGCUUUGGAAACUGUGCAGCUAGAGUGCAGGAGAGGUAAGCGGAAUUCCUAGUGUAGCGGUGAAAUGCGUAGAUAUUAGGAGGAACACCAGUGGCGAAGGCGGCUUACUGGACUGUAACUGACGUUGAGGCUCGAAAGCGUGGGGAGCAAACAGGAUUAGAUACCCGAGUAGUC